CCUACGGGAGGCAGCAGUGGGGAAUAUUGCACAAUGGGGGAAACCCUGAUGCAGCAACGCCGCGUGAAGGAAGACGGUUUUCGGAUUGUAAACUUCUAUCAAUAGGGAAGAAAGAAUUGACGGUACCUGAAGCAGAAGCCCCGGCUAACUACGUGCCAGCAGCCGCGGUAAUACGUAGGGGGCAAGCGUUAUCCGGAUUUACUGGGUGUAAAGGGGGCGCAGACGGCGAGGCAAGCCAGGAGUGAAAGCCCGGGGCCCAACCCCGGGACUGCUCUUGGUACUGGGUGGCUGGAGUGCAGGAGGGGCAGGCGGAAUUCCUGGUGUAGCGGUGAAAUGCGUAGAGAUCAGGAGGAACACCGGUGGCGAAGGCGGCCUGCUGGACUGCAACUGACGUUGAGGCGCGAAAGCGUGGGGAGCAAACAGGAUUAGAUACCCGUGUAGUC
Molecule: ribosomal RNA, 443 nt
Filed under: uncultured bacterium
Lineage: Bacteria
Description: partial 16S ribosomal RNA
Rfam family: Bacterial small subunit ribosomal RNA
Source: RNAcentral